Non-coding RNA from Equus caballus (horse), 118 nucleotides. The record is from Rfam. Lineage: Eukaryota; Metazoa; Chordata; Mammalia; Perissodactyla; Equidae.
GUCUACAGCCAUACCACCCUGAAUGCACCAGAUCUUGUCUGAUCUCAGAAGCUAAGCAAGGUCAGGCCUGCUAGUCCUUGGAUGGGAGACCUUCACUUUCCUUGGGCCCCUGUGCAAG